Molecule: ribosomal RNA, 240 nt
Filed under: uncultured bacterium
Lineage: Bacteria
Description: partial 16S ribosomal RNA
Rfam family: Bacterial small subunit ribosomal RNA
Source: RNAcentral
GAUCAUGGCUCAGAUUGAACGCUGGCGGCAGGCCUAACACAUGCAAGUCGAACGGUAACAGAAAGCAGCUUGCUGCUUUGCUGACGAGUGGCGGACGGGUGAGUAAUGUCUGGGAAACUGCCUGAUGGAGGGGGAUAACUACUGGAAACGGUAGCUAAUACCGCAUAACGUCGCAAGACCAAAGAGGGGGACCUUCGGGCCGUCUUGUCCAUCGGAUGUGGCCCACGAUGGGAUUAGUCG